RNAcentral lists this ribosomal RNA (1695 nucleotides) under Escherichia albertii. Its description in RNAcentral is "partial 23S ribosomal RNA". It matches the Rfam family "Bacterial large subunit ribosomal RNA", at positions 1241 to 2915 of the family's 2925-position model. The record is from RNAcentral. Lineage: Bacteria; Pseudomonadati; Pseudomonadota; Gammaproteobacteria; Enterobacterales; Enterobacteriaceae.
CUGUAAGCCUGUGAAGGUGUGCUGUGAGGCAUGCUGGAGGUAUCAGAAGUGCGAAUGCUGACAUAAGUAACGAUAAAGCGGGUGAAAAGCCCGCUCGCCGGAAGACCAAGGGUUCCUGUCCAACGUUAAUCGGGGCAGGGUGAGUCGACCCCUAAGGCGAGGCCGAAAGGCGUAGUCGAUGGGAAACAGGUUAAUAUUCCUGUACUUGGUGUUACUGCGAAGGGGGGACGGAGAAGGCUAUGUUGGCCGGGCGACGGUUGUCCCGGUUUAAGCGUGUAGGCUGGUUUUCCAGGCAAAUCCGGAGAAUCAAGGCUGAGGCGUGAUGACGAGGCACUACGGUGCUGAAGCAACAAAUGCCCUGCUUCCAGGAAAAGCCUCUAAGCAUCAGGUAACAUCAAAUCGUACCCCAAACCGACACAGGUGGUCAGGUAGAGAAUACCAAGGCGCUUGAGAGAACUCGGGUGAAGGAACUAGGCAAAAUGGUGCCGUAACUUCGGGAGAAGGCACGCUGAUAUGUAGGUGAAGCGACUUGCUCGUGGAGCUGAAAUCAGUCGAAGAUACCAGCUGGCUGCAACUGUUUAUUAAAAACACAGCACUGUGCAAACACGAAAGUGGACGUAUACGGUGUGACGCCUGCCCGGUGCCGGAAGGUUAAUUGAUGGGGUCAGCGCAAGCGAAGCUCUUGAUCGAAGCCCCGGUAAACGGCGGCCGUAACUAUAACGGUCCUAAGGUAGCGAAAUUCCUUGUCGGGUAAGUUCCGACCUGCACGAAUGGCGUAAUGAUGGCCAGGCUGUCUCCACCCGAGACUCAGUGAAAUUGAACUCGCUGUGAAGAUGCAGUGUACCCGCGGCAAGACGGAAAGACCCCGUGAACCUUUACUAUAGCUUGACACUGAACACUGGUCCUUGAUGUGUAGGAUAGGUGGGAGGCUUUGAAGUGUGGACGCCAGUCUGCAUGGAGCCGUCCUUGAAAUACCACCCUUUAAUGGCUGGUGUUCUAACGUGGGCCCGUAAUCCGGGUUGCGGACAGUGUCUGGUGGGUAGUUUGACUGGGGCGGUCUCCUCCUAAAGAGUAACGGAGGAGCACGAAGGUUGGCUAAUCCUGGUCGGACAUCAGGAGGUUAGUGCAAUGGCAUAAGCCAGCUUGACUGCGAGCGUGACGGCGCGAGCAGGUGCGAAAGCAGGUCAUAGUGAUCCGGUGGUUCUGAAUGGAAGGGCCAUCGCUCAACGGAUAAAAGGUACUCCGGGGAUAACAGGCUGAUACCGCCCAAGAGUUCAUAUCGACGGCGGUGUUUGGCACCUCGAUGUCGGCUCAUCACAUCCUGGGGCUGAAGUAGGUCCCAAGGGUAUGGCUGUUCGCCAUUUAAAGUGGUACGCGAGCUGGGUUUAGAACGUCGUGAGACAGUUCGGUCCCUAUCUGCCGUGGGCGCUGGAGAACUGAGGGGGGCUGCUCCUAGUACGAGAGGACCGGAGUGGACGCAUCACUGGUGUUCGGGUUGUCAUGCCAAUGGCACUGCCCGGUAGCUAAAUGCGGAAGAGAUAAGUGCUGAAAGCAUCUAAGCACGAAACUUGCCCCGAGAUGAGUUCUCCCUGAGACUUUAAGUCUCCUGAAGGAACGUUGAAGACGACGACGUUGAUAGGCCGGGUGUGUAAGCGCAGCGAUGCGUUGAGCUAACCGGUACUAAUGAACCGUGAG